UACGAAGGGUGCAAGCGUUACUCGGAAUUACUGGGCGUAAAGCGUGCGUAGGCGGUCUGUUAAGUCCGUUGUGAAAGCCCUGGGCUCAACCUGGGAAUUGCAGUGGAUACUGGCAGGCUAGAGUACGGUAGAGGAUGGUGGAAUUCCCGGUGUAGCGGUGAAAUGCGUAGAGAUCCGGAGGAACACCAGUGGCGAAAGCGGCCACCUGGGCUGUACCUGACGCUGACACGCGAAAGCUAGGGGAGCGAACGGG
Molecule: ribosomal RNA, 253 nt
Filed under: uncultured bacterium
Lineage: Bacteria
Description: partial 16S ribosomal RNA
Rfam family: Bacterial small subunit ribosomal RNA
Source: RNAcentral